AGCAGGAACAGGAUGGGGAUGGCAGGGCAGGGGUGGGGACAGCAGGACAGGGGACAGAGGGUCAGGACAGGGUUGGAGACAGCAGGGAAAGGAUGGGGAUGGCAGGGCAGGGCUGGGCACAGCAGGGACAGAAGUGUCACAGGAGGGCAGGGGACAGCAGGACAAGGCUUGGGGACGGCAGGACAGCAGGACAGGACAGAGCUGAGCUGCUCACCCUGCAGCGCACGGCACGAAGGAGCCGUUGCGGAGCCGCCCGCAGUGCCCGCCUUCAUCCCCCCGUGCGUUCAGAGCCGCCAUGCAGGAGCCGGAGACGGGGACGGCACCUGCGAUAUCGGGGGGGGGGGGACACAAAAACGACACCGUGAACCCAACCCCACGGUGCCAACCCCCCCCCUACACCCAUCCCAGAGCCACGCUGGCACACCUGAGCCCAGCAGCUGCCGGCAUUGCCCCUCGUAGGUGCUGCAAACCCCCCCCGAGCAUCUGCCGCCGCCGCCGCACGGCUGCCCGUCCUGCACGAAGGUGUUUGGGGGGCAGAAACGGGAGCUGCCGUCGCAGAAUUCGGGCAGGUCGCAUUCGUUUGUGGGUUCCCUGCACGGCUGCCCUGCGCCCAGCAGCUGGGGGGGUAAAAAAAAAGAAAUAAAAAGGGGUUGGGGGGGGAAAAAGGUGGGGAAAUGGGGACUGCGGCGCCGCGACGGCGGCUGCGGAGCGGCUGGAUCCGUGCUGCGUGAGCAUCCCUGCAGCAUGGGAACGGCGCUGAGUGUGUGUUCUUGCACACCUGGCCCCGUGCACACACGUCCUUGCACACACGGCCCUGCACACACGGCCCUGUGCGUCCAUCCUUGCACAACUAUCCCUGCAAACCAAUCCCUGCGCGCCCAUCUUUGCGCACCUGACCCUGCAAACUCAUCCCUGUCUGCUCAUCUUUGCACACCCGGCCCUGCACACCCAUCCCUGUCCACCCAUCCUUGCACACCUGGCCCUGCACACCCAUCCCUGUGCGUCCAUCUUUGCACACCUGGCCCUGCACACCCAUCCCUGUCUGCCCAUCCUUGCACACCUGGCCCUGUACACACAUCCCUGUGCGCCCAUCCUUGCACACCUGAGCCCAUGCACACAUCCAGCACACCCAUCCCUGCUCACCCAGCCCUUUGCACACACACCCCCUUUGCACACUCACCCCUUUUCACACACCCCCUUU
This 1201-nucleotide long non-coding RNA is filed under the name Phasianus colchicus (ring-necked pheasant). Its description in RNAcentral is "lncRNA (ENSPCLG00000017389.1)". The record is from RNAcentral. Lineage: Eukaryota; Metazoa; Chordata; Aves; Galliformes; Phasianidae.